UAGCAUUACAAUACCAUUCAUCUUGCAA
RNAcentral lists this non-coding RNA (28 nucleotides) under Bombyx mori (domestic silkworm). Lineage: Eukaryota; Metazoa; Arthropoda; Insecta; Lepidoptera; Bombycidae. The record is from RNAcentral.